RNAcentral lists this unclassified non-coding RNA (309 nucleotides) under plant metagenome. Its description in RNAcentral is "partial contains 5.8S ribosomal RNA, internal transcribed spacer 2, and large subunit ribosomal RNA". The stretch from base 1 to 105 matches the Rfam family "5.8S ribosomal RNA", at positions 50 to 154 of the family's 154-position model. The record is from RNAcentral.
GAAAUGCGAUAAGUAAUGUGAAUUGCAGAAUUCAGUGAAUCAUCGAAUCUUUGAACGCACAUUGCGCCCGCCAGUAUUCUGGCGGGCAUGCCUGUUCGAGCGUCAUUUCAACCAUCAAGCCCCCGGGCUUGUGUUGGGGACCUGCGGCUGCCGCAGGCCCCGAAAACCAGUGGCGGGCUCGCUGUCACACCGGGCGUAGUAGAUUUUUCGUCUCGCCCAGGGCGUGCUGCGGGUUCCGGCCGUUAAAAAGCCUCUCUUUUAACCAAAGGUUGACCUCGGAUCAGGUAGGAAGACCCGCUGAACUUAAGC